RNAcentral lists this ribosomal RNA (491 nucleotides) under uncultured bacterium. RNAcentral's name for it is "partial 16S ribosomal RNA". It matches the Rfam family "Bacterial small subunit ribosomal RNA", at positions 28 to 507 of the family's 1533-position model. The record is from RNAcentral.
GAUGAACGCUGGCUACAGGCUUAACACAUGCAAGUCGAGGGGAAACGCCGGGGAAGCUUGCUUCCCCGGGCGUCGACCGGCGCACGGGUGAGUAACGCGUAUCCAACCUGCCUCUGACUGAGGGAUAACCCGUCGAAAGUCGGCCUAAUACCUCAUGGCAUCGUCUGCGGGCAUCCAACGACGAUUAAAGAUUUCAUCGGUCAGGGAUGGGGAUGCGUCUGAUUAGCUUGUUGGCGGGGUAACGGCCCACCAAGGCUACGAUCAGUAGGGGUUCUGAGAGGAAGGGCCCCCACAUUGGAACUGAGACACGGUCCAAACUCCUACGGGAGGCAGCAGUGAGGAAUAUUGGGCAAUGGGCGGGAGCCUGAACCAGCCAAGUAGCGUGCAGGAUGACGGCCCUAUGGGUUGUAAACUGCUUUUAGGCGGGGAUAAAGUGAGGGACGUGUCCUUCAUUGCAGGUACCGCAUGAAUAAGGACCGGCUAAUUCCGUG